RNAcentral lists this ribosomal RNA (498 nucleotides) under uncultured bacterium. Its description in RNAcentral is "bacterial SSU rRNA". It matches the Rfam family "Bacterial small subunit ribosomal RNA", at positions 334 to 849 of the family's 1533-position model. The record is from RNAcentral.
CGCCCUUACGGGAGGCAGCAGCAAGGCAUUUUCCCCAAUGGGCGCAAGCUCGAGGGAGCAACGCCGCGUGGAGGCCGAGCGACCUUCGGGUUGUAAACUCCUUUCGGGGGGGACGACCGCGACGGUACCACCAGAAGCAGCCCCGGCUAACUCUGUGCCAGCAGCCGCGGUAAGACAGAGGGGGCAAGCGUUGUCCGGAGUUACUGGGCGUAAAGGGCGCGGAGGCGGUCUGCGGCGUCGGCGCUGAAAGCCCGCUUAACGGGGCGAGGCGUGCCGAUACGCGCAGACUUGAGGCGAGCAGAGGGUGGUAGAAUUCCGUGUGGAGCGGUGAAAUGCGUAGAGAUCCGGAGAACGGCAGUGUGGGAAGCCGGCCACCUGGGCUCGUCCUGACGCCGCGGCGCGACAGCUGGGGUAGCAAACCCCUAUUAGAUACCCCGGAUAGUUCCACGCCGUAAACGUGUGCCCAGCUCGCCGUGGUGGCGCACUGUUUGUUGCGUU